UGGGGGGGCGCGCUCCCGUCCCACCCCCUGGAGCUGGGCUCCUUGCUCUGCCCGAGAUGUGGAACUCAGGAAGCAGGUGUCUUGGCGGGGUUGGGACACGAGAGCAUUUUAUUAUUUUAUUUUUAAAGGACGGGGAUGCAGAAACCAAGCCCACCCCCCAAAAAAGACCCACGUGGAGCCCAGGCUCCGCUGGCCUGACUCCCCCACCCGCAAUGGCUUGACUGUCUCCACGUGGCUGCUUUGCUUUGCAAAAUACAGCGCGUCCAAGCUCCUGGAGGACAGCGAUGGUGCCAGACAUAGCCUGCUUUGUACGUGCUCAGACAGUUCCCUUUGGGGGCUUCGUAAGGACAUCUUGGAAGGAGACCCUGCUGGAUCGGGGGUUGCUGGAGGGUCCCUAAGCCAGGGCGCUUGCUCGCUGGCCGGCCGGGUGCAGCCCCUCUCCCCAUGGGAUGCCUGAAGCUGACAGCCCUGACUACCUGGGAUUCAGAGGUAGACUGCACUUAGGGAUUACAGGAGAGGAAAUAAGAAGAAAGGACUUUAAACUUUUCCAAUAUGCAGUUACAGCAGCAAGAAUCCUACUGGCCCAGAAAUGGAAACAAGAAGAAAUACCGACGGUAGAAGAAUGGAGACUGAAGCUGACAGACUAUGCAGAACUGGACAGAUUAACUGGGAAAAUUAGAUAUCUUCGAGACCAAAAGUUCAUCGAGGACUGGGGAAAAUUUGUUGAUUAUCUGAAAAGAACGUGUGAUGUGCAAACAACGCUAGUGGGGUUUCAAGAAGCACUGUGAAAGUUGAGAUAUAUUGUUAGAAAGAAAUAGAAGUGGGAGGGAAGGUUAAUGGCAAUAUAAACAGAAGAAAUGCGUAACUGAGAGGUAAAUAUGGAUGAUUGUCAGAGAAGCUGAAGGAAGUCCAAACAGAGUUAAAUUUGUGGAAAUUUUGAUAUGAUUGUUUAUUUGUGUUGGAAAAUUAAUAAAAAUUAUUAU
This is a long non-coding RNA of Podarcis raffonei (Aeolian wall lizard), 983 nucleotides long. RefSeq lists it as uncharacterized. The transcript is spliced from 2 exons. NCBI's taxonomy places the organism in Eukaryota, Metazoa, Chordata, Lepidosauria, Squamata, Lacertidae. The record is from RefSeq and is a predicted model, not a curated record.